UGCGAUCAUCUGAGCGCACAGAACGUCUGCUUGAACACCAGACCCGGAGUGAAGUGCGUUUGGGACCACAAGAAUGGAAGGUGCAUCAACAUCAACAAUUCAGUAGUGCCGAUUCCAUCAUCCUCUGUUGCCCGGAAAUGAAAUUUUCCUAUAUUGGUCGCAAGUUCUUCGAGGAUAUGGAGAUUUGCAGCGAGAUCGAGGAUUGCGCCAUCUGCGUUUCCACAACCAGAAAAUGUGUCUGGUGCAAGACGGCGUGCGCCUAUGAUUCGUGCAAGGAUUCAAAGGAUCUCCCUAUUUUCUCAUGCCCGAUAGAUGCGCGACCGAUGUGCGAUAAGUUGCAUACAUGUAAAGCAUGCAGCGCUCAAACUUACUAUUGUAAUGGUCUUAUGAGACCGCUAAAUGCUCGACGUAUACUCCGCCAACUACCGGAAACAAUCAGACCGAUGUGAUGGUUAUAGAUCAGGGACAGCAGUGUCCUCGAUUCUGCUCAGAGUACAGCUCUUGGGGGACGCACUGCGAACGCUGCGUCCAAGUGUAUUGGGGUUCGGACGGAGGACAAUGCCAGCCGCACGAAUGCAACGGACAAGCAACCCAAUGCCAUCCCGAGAGCGGGAGGUGCUAGUGCACCACCAAAGGUCGGAGAUCACUGCGAGAAGUGCGACCUAGCGAAUCACUGCUUCAUAAGAUCCCAUAAACAAAGGAUUCUGCUACUGAAAAUGAUCUCACAAUCGAUUACCAGUUCACGUUCAAUCUGUCCAAGAAGGAGAACCCUCACUACACGCAGAUCAACUGCCGGAAUUCGGUAUCCCCUCUGGAUACAGAUUUCGUUCUCGCAACCUCCCAAGCUCAAUCUUUAUCACAUUGGACCGCAUUCGUCAAAUUCAAAAUGCUGGAAACAAAGCAAGACUUGAAGCGGCAAACUGAAUUUUUGCGGAAGCAUUCGUAAUAUACGAAUGGUUCCGAAUUCAUCCAAUUCUUCUCCUUAUGCUCCUCCCAAGCUCAAAUAAUUGAUGAAUGAUUAUACCAACCUAAGGAAAACAAAAUAAUUAGUUAAGUAUAUUAUAUUUAUUAAUUCUAUCCGUCCUCUUCAGUACCGAUCCUGUUUUAAUCCGGUGGCAAUCGCAAGCCCGACAACCGAAAGACCGUCUAUUGAAAGCCCGACGUUCAAAAU
Long non-coding RNA from Nicrophorus vespilloides, 1171 nucleotides. RefSeq lists it as uncharacterized. The record is from RefSeq and is a predicted model, not a curated record. The transcript has 4 exons. Lineage: Eukaryota; Metazoa; Arthropoda; Insecta; Coleoptera; Silphidae.